ACCUUAAAGCUAGCCUAUAUAUUAAUUCAACUAGACCUUAUAAAUCCAAUCUAUAUUACAGUUUUUAAUCAAAACAUUCUCAACCUUUUAGUAUGGGUGACAGAACAAUAACCCCAGCGCGAUAGCUUAUGUACCGCAAGGGAAAGCUGAAAAAGAAAUGAAAUAAAUCAUUAAAGUACUAAAAAGCAGAGAUGAUACCUCGUACCUUUUGCAUCAUGAUUUAGCUAGAAAAACUAGGCAAAAAGACCUUAAGUCUAUCUCCCCGAAACUAAACGAGCUACUCCGAAGCAGCAUUAUAGGGCUAACCCGUCUCUGUGGCAAAAGAGUGGGAAGACUUCCGAGUAGCGGUGAAAAGCCUACCGAGUUUAGUGAUAGCUGGUUACCCAAGAAAAGAACUUUAGUUCUGCAUUAAUUUUUCACUAUCUAGACAAGACUUACUCGUCAAAGAAUUCCAUAAGAAUUAAUAGUUAUUUAGAAGAGGUACAACCCUUCUAAAUCAAGACACAACUUUUUAAGGUGGGAAAUGAUCAUAAUUAUUAAGGUUACCAUCCUAGUGGGCCUAAAAGCAGCCACCUGUUAAGUAAGCGUCGCAGCUCUAAUCUAAUAAUUAAACCUUUAAUUCAGAUAUUCAUUCACAACCCCCUUCAUUCUAUUGGGUUAUUUUAUAUUUAUAUAAAAGAACUUAUGCUAAAAUGAGUAAUAAAGAGAAUAAAUCUCUCCCGACACAAGUGUAUGUCAGAAAGAAUUAAAUCACUGAUAAUUAAACGACCCCAAACUGAGGUCAUUAUAUCACAAUCAAUCAACUAGAAAACCCUAUUUUCCUACUCGUUACCCCUACACAGGAGUGUCAUCAGGAAAGAUUAAAAGAAAAUAAAGGAACUCGGCAAACAUAAACUCCGCCUGUUUACCAAAAACAUCGCCUCUUGAUAAACUAUAAGAGGUCCCGCCUGCCCUGUGAUAAUGUUCAACGGCCGCGGUAUUUUGACCGUGCAAAGGUAGCGUAAUCACUUGUCUUUUAAAUGAAGACCUGUAUGAAAGGCAUCACGAGAGUUUAACUGUCUCUAUUUUCUAAUCAAUGAAAUUGAUCUAUUCGUGCAGAAGCGAAUAUAAUAACAUUAGACGAGAAGACCCUAUGGAGCUUUAAACACUUAAAUUAAUUAUGUAACCAUCCACUUCUCAGGAUAUAAACAAAAUAUACAAUACUUCUAAUUUAACUGUUUUUGGUUGGGGUGACCAAGGGGAAAAACAAAUCCCCCUUAUCGAUUGAGUACUAAGUACUUAAAAAUUAGAAUGACAAUUCUAAUUAAUAAAAUAUUUAUCGAAAAAUGACCCAGGAUUUCCUGAUCAAUGAACCAAGUUACCCUAGGGAUAACAGCGCAAUCCUUUCUCAGAGUCCCUAUCGAAGAAAGGGUUUACGACCUCGAUGUUGGAUCAGGACAUCCUAAUGGUGCAACCGCUAUUAAGGGUUCGUUUGUUCAACGAUUAAUAGUCCUACGUGAUCUGAGUUCAGACCGGAGAAAUCCAGGUCAGUUUCUAUCUAUGAAUACACUUUUCCUAGUACGAAAGGACCGGAAAAGUAGGGCCAAUGCCACUAGUACGCCCUAUUUUCAUCUAUUGAAUAAAACUAAAAUAGAUAAGAAAAGAUCACCUAGUGCCCAAAAAAAGGGUU
This 1669-nucleotide ribosomal RNA is filed under the name Carcharhinus leucas (bull shark). RNAcentral describes it as "16S ribosomal RNA". It matches the Rfam family "Bacterial large subunit ribosomal RNA", at positions 274 to 2829 of the family's 2925-position model. The record is from RNAcentral. Lineage: Eukaryota; Metazoa; Chordata; Chondrichthyes; Carcharhiniformes; Carcharhinidae.